UAAUUGUACUCGUUUAGCUUGGAGUUUUGCUUUGAUUGUUUGUGAACUCAAUAAUUUUUGAGGAAUUGUGUUUGUUUGUUUAAGUAAUUGAGGAUGAGAAAAAAUCGAUGAAAUGCUGAGAAAACCCAGAAUAAUGAGAUUUUUUUUACGCAUCCACAUCUAUCUGUGUCUUUUUUGGGGUGGUUUAGUUCGUCUAUUCAAUGAAUCUGUCAGUACAGAACAGAUAUAGUUCAUUUUCUGUGUAGCAUAUUUUUGCCCCCUUCUAUUGUGGCAUUCAGAUGUACUUCGUGUCAAAUAUUAUAGAAUCAUAUGAAAUGGUCCCUCUUG
This 327-nucleotide unclassified non-coding RNA is filed under the name Hevea brasiliensis (rubber tree). Lineage: Eukaryota; Viridiplantae; Streptophyta; Magnoliopsida; Malpighiales; Euphorbiaceae. The record is from RNAcentral.